CCUCACAGCCCUCAAGAGGAACCUGCCCUGCAGACACCUUGAUUUCCGACGUGGCCUCCAGCCCUGGAAGUGGCUAAGUGCCUGAAGGGAGGAUGACCACAGCCACGUGAGGCAGAGGACAGAUGGAUGAGGAAGACAGAAGGUCCUGAGACCAGCCCAGUGCCUGCCCGGCCCCUCACAGACACUCUGUAAAUAUUUGUGGGAAUCAGCACAAGUGAUUUUCUGGAAGCCACUAACCAGGAGUGAGCAGAGCCAGGCAAAGAAGCGUGGACACCCUCAGAGGCUCUGUCUGACAGUGCAAGGGGCUGAUAUUUAUCAGGAAAUGUGACAGAUGUGCUGUGUGAACCAGGAAGACCUGUCAGUGCCCUCGGCCGUAAUUAGCCGCUACUUCACUCUCCCAGGGAGGCCACUGAGGACUCUGGGCUCUGCCUUUGCAGUGGGAUGUCCGUCCACCCCUGCUCUUCUCCCAGGAGGAGCAGCUGCCCGUGACCUUGGACUUCAGCAGGAGAAGAUGAUCCUCUGGAAUGUGAUUAUCUUCAUCUUGAAGAGUACUAAUUAUGGUUGCUUUCCUUUUUUUUUUUUUUUUUUUGAGACAAAGUCUUGCUCUGUCGCCCAGGCUGGAGUGCAGUGGUGCCAUAUCAGCUCACUGCAGCCUCCGCUUCCCAGGUUCAAGCAAUUAUCAUGCCUCAGCCUCCUGAGUAGCUGGGAUUACAGGUACAUGCCACUACACCCAGCUAAUUUUUGUAUUUUUAGUAGAGUCGGGGUUUCACCAUGUUGGUCAGUCUGGUCUUGAACUCCUGACCUCAAGUGAUUUGCCCGCCUCGGCCUCCCAAAGUGCUGGGAUUACAGGCGUGAGCCACUGUGCCCGGCCAAUUAUUGUCACUUUUCAAACCCAGGGACACUCAGCUCUGGGGAAGGCACAGCCCCUUGCAUGUCCUGGGAGUUUCCUGUGACCUGGUAGGAUGAGGAACAGUUUCUUGGGGCUGAAGUGGGGAUGCUAUGCCCUCAUUAAGGAUGCUCUGUACAGUGAGACCCGUGUUUUCCCUGGUGGCAGUGACAGCCACCUGAGCUCUGCACAUUCCCUAGGGCCAGGUCACUAAGGUCGUGUGUGGCCACUCUAGACUGGCCAUGCUGCGGCUCCUCACCCAACACAUGCACAUGCAUGUGUGCACACACCUACUCCCAUUCCAUAAGCUCGGUGCAGCAGAUGUGGCCACUUCAAUUACACAGCAGUGCAGUGGGCUCUGUGGCUCAGUAUCCCCCGGGGAGCAGGAGGCCCCGCGGUUUGCAGUGAGGUGUGGAGAAUGGAGCGGGCUCGGUGGUGUUAAUGAC
Molecule: long non-coding RNA, 1332 nt
Filed under: Homo sapiens (human)
Lineage: Eukaryota; Metazoa; Chordata; Mammalia; Primates; Hominidae
Description: HSALNT0245674
Source: RNAcentral